Molecule: ribosomal RNA, 253 nt
Filed under: uncultured bacterium
Lineage: Bacteria
Description: partial 16S ribosomal RNA
Rfam family: Bacterial small subunit ribosomal RNA
Source: RNAcentral
UACGUAGGUGGCAAGCGUUGUCCGGAUUUAUUGGGUUUAAAGGGUGCGUAGGCGGUUCUGUAAGUCAGGGGUGAAAUACUCUAGCUUAACUAGAGGGGUGCCAAUGAUACUGCAGAACUUGAGUACAGAUGAGGUAGGCGGAAUUGACGGUGUAGCGGUGAAAUGCAUAGAUAUCGUCAAGAACACCGAUAGCGAAGGCAGCUUACUGGGCUGUAACUGACGCUGAGGCACGAAAGUGUGGGGAUCAAACAGG